AGAUUUUGUUUUCUGGUCUCUGAUUGGUUGGCUUUUUGUCAAACCAGUGAGGUAACAGAUGACCUGUCUUUAGUGGGAGGGAUCUAAAGGCAGUUGAAAACAAACUGUACAAACUACAACUACACCACAUCAACUCUCCCAAGACUUCUGAGAUCAACCAGGACCAGGAACCAUGUCCAGCUCUGGGCCGAAGGAGCUGAGGAUUGUCUUCAUUGGAAAGACUGAAAUCUUGACUUCAAAAAUUGAAGACUUCCUGAAAGAAAAUGCUGUGCAGGAAGACUUUACAAUGGUUUUGGUGAAGACUCUGAUCCAAGACAGUCCAAGUCAAGUCGACGAGACAGAAAACACUGAAGUGUCAAAGGAAAUGAAGAAAGGAACUACAGCAUCCAUCUUCUCUCCUGGUCCCCAUGUGUUUCUGUUCGUGCAAGACUGGGAGAACGGCUUUAAAACACAUGACGUGGAGCGAAUGAAACUCGUUAGGGAGUUCUUUGGUGACGAGUCAGUGCGUUACUUUUUACCCUUGAUCACCCACGAAGAUAAAGAGUUGAAACCAAAGGAUAGAAAUACAAUAAUGAGUUUCAUUGAGACACAAUUGGGGUGUGAAAAAGAGAAAUGCAGUGAUAUUAAUGUUUAUAGUGACAAGGUCCAAGAUCAAGUGAGAAAGUUAGUGGACAAGCUGAGAGAGGUGGCUGAAAACAACAAAUGGGAGUGUUACACAGAGGAAAUGUUCAAGAAGGCACAGGAAGCCCUCUGCCAGAAAAUGCAGGAAUUAGAGAAGACGGGACAGAAAGAUAAUGUGAAUGACACACUGACCAAGAUAAUUGAGUUGGUAACUGGAGGGGGCGAAUUAAGCAAGUUCCUGUUUCAACUACAUAGAAAAGUGUCAGACUAUUUCAGUAAAUACACGGAGAAGGUGGCUCAGAAACACAAGAAAUGAGGAUAAAAAACUGGCCUCUAUUCACAAAAGAAUCACAAAGUUAAGAGCAAGUUAAUUAAAUAACGGAAGAAAGAAUGAGACUUUACUCAUGAACCAAAAAUGACUGAUUAAUCAAUUCUGUUGUUAUUAAAUCUGCAGCUCAGUCAGAGAAACAAACAAGAGGGAAAUAUUUGAUGUUUUUAAUCCGAGUUAUUAAUCUGACAGACUCGGUUCCUCUGCAGACUGAGAUCAAGACAACAAAUAAAUCGAUCAUGUUUUUUUUUAUCAUUAUUAUAAUUUGCAUUAUAGCAGAAAUGACAUUUGCAUGCUCACAGAUUCAAUUGGACUCCAUAUUUUCCAGCUGCAACAUUAUAUUCUAAAUGAUUUAAUGCAAAUACUUCUCUGCUUAUUUUCAUUGUGUUUUUUUUUUCCUUUUAUUGAUGGUGAACAAGGAAUAAUCAGGAAAAACAAUAAGAGCAGGAUAUACAUGUGUAUAUAUGUGGGGCAGGAGUAACUUUUGUGUCUUCUGUGUGGUAAAAUUGUAAAGAUUUCUUCUCCAUAAAGAUCUGAGCUCUUUCUGCGCCUCUGCUGCAGUUACAGGGAAACCUGAGAACAGAUGUUUUCUGGAGAAUUUGCAGCACAGACUGUAUUUUUCUAUCAAAACUUCUAAAACUUCUUUUCUUUUGUUUUCUGAGAAACAUGUUAAAUGUUAAAGCCUGAUGGAUUUUGUGCUUCCACUCAGUGGACGUGUUUAAAAAAAAGAAAGAUUGUUUUCUUUUUCUUUUCCUUUCUUUGUGGUGCUUUUUCAUUCCUUUCUAUGAUGUAACAGAGUUAAGAUGCUAAUGUACGAAUCAGUGUGUGAAAUGAUGCAGCUUCAGUCAGAUAUUAACAGCAGAAUCUCAUCAAUAAAUCAAACAUGACUGAGACAAAUCUGUUUCUCUCCUGUCAUUAUUCAGCUGAUUAAGAAAUGAUUCAUAGAAGAAAUUAACUUGAAACUUUGUCUUUUAGUUUUUGGUUGUGUGUCUCUUUGUGUUAGCCGUGCAUCAGGCUGGCGGCCUGUCCAGGGUGUGCCCCGCCUCUCGCCCUACGUUAGCCACCCGCGACCCUGACAGGGAUAAGUGGAAGAGAAUGGAUCGAUGGUUUUUAGGGACCUCAGUGUAAAUGUGUCUCUCUUUAAAGCACUUUGGGUCAGCUUCUGUUAUUUAAAUUUGUAAUGUGAAUAAAAUAGACCUGACAUUAAACACAAGUGGCUCUAAUAUUCAGACGUAAUAGAUUCAUUCUUGAUGUUCGAGAUAUGUUUUUUCUUUUCAAA
Oreochromis aureus is the source of this 2228-nucleotide long non-coding RNA. The record is from Ensembl. Lineage: Eukaryota; Metazoa; Chordata; Actinopteri; Cichliformes; Cichlidae.